Drosophila mojavensis is the source of this 1213-nucleotide long non-coding RNA. RefSeq lists it as uncharacterized. The transcript is spliced from 3 exons. Lineage: Eukaryota; Metazoa; Arthropoda; Insecta; Diptera; Drosophilidae. The record is from RefSeq and is a predicted model, not a curated record.
UUGUCUUGUUCAUCAAUCAAGCCUCAAUCAUUACACAUAAGUGGAAUAUACACUAAUCUUUAUAUUCAGUUUUCAUUCGUACAAGGCUUAAGGGUAUAUUCAUCAAUCAUUCCACCAAUUACUCAAUAUAUCUAUGUAGCCCCGCAUGCAUAAGGCAUUCAGCUCUAAGUAGCUCAUCAAUCAAACACAUUAUUUAUAUUAUUCAUCCCAAAUGCUUGCCGGCAAAGAGUAUCAGAUUGCGUUGCGACUUGAUCAGGUAGAGGAAUGGAUGUGUGGCAAAGAAUCUCUUGCGUCGGAUUGCCAUUACGGGCAUGAUGCGAAACACUGUGAACAAGCCGUACAAAUGCCCUUAGAUAUGCUAUAAAAAAAGUUUUUAGUGCCAUAAAUUGUCAUCGUGCGCAGUCUUAAAUUCGAAAUGUUUCAUUUGGUUUUUACGAUGGUUGAAGAGAUCGAAGAUGCUGUUCAAGGUCUGGCGAACUUGCCAGCAAAGAGAAUCGCGCCCCGCCUGUUGGCAAUGUAAUAAAUAAAUGGAUGAUCGGCAUGGAAUCGGAUGGGUUCCGGCUGGAACAUGGGCAUCGAAGCAUAGCACAUGACCAUAGCUAUAAGUAAAGAAGAAGACAUAACGGAAGACAAGAACAAAAAACACACACGAUUAGUCCAAGUCUGAGAUGAUAUUGGAGUUCUUAUGCAAGCUGAUGGAUGAUGACUGAUGGCGAUUGAUACUGAUUGAUACUAGUAGAUUGAGUCUAAGAGAAGUAAACAAGGAAAAGAGCACACUAAUCUGCAUAGAAAGUAGUUUAUUACGGAAUAUUAAAUCACAAUCAAUCAUAUCAUAUAGAAAAGAAAAUCUUAAAUGACAUCGGAAAUUGUUGAGAAAUAUUCUUAAAAUGUCUGAAUUUUGCCAGCGAAAAGCGGCGCAGCAUCCUUAUUGACUAUGUAAUAGAGGAAUGGAUGAUCGGCAUCAAAAUAAAUGGGAUCCGGUUCGAUGAUCAUCAUUUCACACAUGACUAGAAGAGCUAUACGAAUGAAUGAGAAGACAAAGCAUAGAUGAGGAACAGUUAAUGACGAUUGCUGGAUUGAAGAAAGAUGAAAAAUAAUAUAUAGAAUAAAUGUGGGGCUACUUAUGAGGUCGAUGUGGUGGUCAAAAGUAUAACCCGAUUAAUUGGAAUGUUCCACUUUAUAAACUUUAUUAAAGCAUGCAGUAAUACAAAUA